Molecule: long non-coding RNA, 5105 nt
Filed under: Homo sapiens (human)
Lineage: Eukaryota; Metazoa; Chordata; Mammalia; Primates; Hominidae
Description: HSALNT0049255
Source: RNAcentral
GGAACAACCUUUCCUUAACAUCCAAUGGCACGUGGCUGGCCCUCCACCCUCUUUUCCUGGAAGAGGCAUUUGAAUGAAACACUUGACAAAUAUUUAUAUGCUAGUAACCAUGCUAGAAUAACAGCCACAGUCUGCUAUGACCUGAAUUGAACCAGAAAAUGCAGAGUGAAGGCAGGGGGAACACGGCUCGGGGUCCUCUCUGGUCAGGCCUGGAGCCAGCGCUUGUAAACUGUGGACUAUCACCCACUGUUGAGAGGCCUCCUUUCGGCAGACUUCAGCACAGGGAUGUGGACUUGUUUCUAUGAAAGCCUGGAAUUCCUGUAGGGGUAGUGCCGUAAAACCGGAUCUUUACCUUCCUUAUUUAAAGGACUUUUUUGCGCAUAGACUGCCUGUCCUGGCCUCUCUCCCACUCUGGAAAGGAAGGGCUGAGAGAGAAAAACACACUGGAGAUGCUGUUUUGGAUGGAAACACACUCGCUGCCUGUUUCCCUGUGUGCCCAUGGUUCUUCUAGGUGCUGGGAAUAGACGAGUGAGAUGCAGACAAGGCCCCAGUCCUCACGGCACUUAUGUGCUAUGAGGAAACAAGGAAUGCACAUACCCCAUCGAGGAGGUGUCAGUCCAUCUUCAUGAGCCAAAAGGUGACAUGUGCCAAGGAAACAGGAAUAGAGCCUUGAGUGAAGCAUCAGACCAGUACAGCCGACCUGGUGGGCCUUGGUGCAAAGGGAAUGGAGCAAAGACUGGGAGGUAAUGAGGGGAUUCCCCAGGUGCUCCCCUGGGAGAAGAGAAUUCUGCCCACAGGCCCUGCCACCAGCGAGGGCCUUGCGUGCCGUGGAGUGGGAGGAACCACAAGGUGAGAAGGGUCUGAGGAUGUGGGCAUGGAGGCAUUGCAAGGACUUUGAAUUUACUCUGAGAGAUGAGUAGUCACUGGGAGGUUUGCAGCCCAGACAACCCACACGGUCAUUUCAGGAAGCUUGAGAGAGACUCAGUAUGUGGGGCAGCGGGCCCCCGUUUGUGGGGGCCACAGCGCAAACGCACCUGAGCCUGGAGCUGCUGGAACUCCUCUCUCUGCAGCCAGAGACCCAGGCUCACUCCUGGGCCUCCAUUCCGCCUGCUGGAUCAGCAAAAAUGAAAUGACUAAAUGGGCUGUUGGAUUUCAAAGAAUUACAGCCCCACUCCAGUCCUUGAGAGAGAAGCAGAGGCCCUGUUCCCCUGCGUCUGUGUGGCCUGCUGCAAAUAACGGGCUGGGUUUAUGGCGAGGGGACGGCUGGGCGGUUGCUUGUCUAGAAACGCACCAUGUGGUCCCUGCCUCCUCCUGAGCCUCAAUGGCCGCCUGGGACAUAGAUAGCCAGACAUCGCCAAUUUCCAGGUUCAAAAUUAUAUUCCCCCAACGUGAGUUAAUCUUCCCAUGAAAGGAAGAAAUACUUUUCACUUCAUGUUACUCUCUCUACUUUUUUUUUAAAGCAUCAGAUCUUUUAUCUCUAGUAUGACUAUGGAUGAAAUAUCACCAGCUUCAUAUUUCAAGAUAAUUUCCCUUCCAGCAAACAUUCCCCUAGGAAUAAAGACAUGUAGUGCCCACACUGCUGGGCUGCUUUUUCCGCCUCUGUCUAAACAAGGCCCUGUGUGUUCCAUCUGCUUGUCGGUUCCCAGUGUGCACUGGUCACUGCUGGGCUGAAAGGUCUCGCUUUUAGCUUCCUAGAUAGGCCAGCGAGGUUAAUAAGUUAAUAAAAUCCUAUUUAUCAGACUCCGGAGUCCAUUUCCUCUUCCCCGUGGCUCAUGGUUGUAAUUAUUCUUUAUGGACUCUCGGUGUUCCUUUAGAUCUGAUUUCCUCGCACUCCCCUCCCAUUUCCUGAAAGCCACGCCACAGAAGGAGAGAGUGGUCUUUUCUCUGGAAAGAUGUCUGUUACUCAUUUCCACCUUGGUGUCACGAAAGCUAGUCUGAAGGGAUACGUUUAAAUAUUUAAAAUUUUAAGAUGCAUGUGGAACAGCCUGGGUUGCUUCUCCUCCUGAGCAGAUUAGGUUAGAAAGACCUGGGGGCCCCUGGAUAACCCGGCGUAGCUGUCCAGGAGUGCAGAGAUUGGGAACCAGAUCCUGGGCUCUUGGCAGCUUCAGCUUUAUCUGGAAAAUUGGAGCCAUCAUUUCGACCAUGCUCACAUAUGAAGAUAAAUGACAAUAGCUUGCGUGAAAGUGUUUUUGAAAACAACAAUAACAACAAAACACAGAAAAAGAAGGCAUGAUCUUGGCUGCUUUUGAUGUGACUGUUUCCCUUAGCAGGGUGCCAGGGAUAUGGGGAAUUUAGGCCAAAUUAGCCGGAGCUUCUCUUAUUAGCGAAGAUUCGCUUAUCAGGUUCCCUGCUGUCAGCUUGGAAGACCCAGAGUCUGACCCCGAAUAAUGAAAUAGAGGACAAAUGAAGAUUCUGUCUCUGAGCAGGACUCGGGAUGGGGAGCAGUGGGCCCCAGCUGGAGGGGCGCAGGUCAGGCUGUAGGGCCCCUGGAGCUGGCUCCCUGGCUUGAGAGAAAGGGCCACAGUCACCUUCGCCUGCCCAGGCCCAGUCGUCUUUCUCGGGAGUGGCGGAAUGUAGCUUUCUACCCUACGGGCUCCUGCGCCUCACAGUGCUGGCUUUGGGUUUCUUCUGGGUCUCUGUGCUAACUUAGGCUCCGACGUUUCUAACUUUGGCCAAGAAGGUUUUGUAUACGAAUUUAUAGUGUACUGUAUAUGUGUGUGUGUGUGUGUGUGUGUACGCGUGCACACCAGCACAUGCACUUUUUAAAACAACUAGGAAUCUUCUCAGCAAACACUAUUCCUUGUCUACUCCCUUCUCUUGAAGAUGGUCACUGAGUGGCUACGGAGACACAAACUUGGAGGAAAGCACCCUGGCCUUGCCAACAGUGGAGAGUGCCCCAGGGCCAACCCCGAUGAAUCUCUGCCAGAUGAGGUGCAGAAGGGGAUGGGGCAAAGGAAGCAGAUACUCCCCCACGUGACUUCCCCACAGGAGCCACUUAACCAGAGGAAGACAGUGAUAUGGUUUGGCUGUGUCCCACCCAAAUCUCAUCUUGAACUGUAGUUCUCGUAAUCCCCAUGUGCUGUGGGAGCAACACGGUGGGAGGUAAUUGAAUCACGGGGGUGGUUACCUCCAUGCUGUUCUGGUGAUAGUGAGUGAGUUCUCACGAGAUCUGAUGGUUUUAUAAGGGACUUUUCCCCUUUUGCUCAGCACUUUUCCUUGCUGCCGCUAUGUGAAGAAGGAUGUGUUUGCUUCCCCUUCCUCCAUGAUUAUAAGUUUCCUGAGGCCUGCCCAGCCCUGCAGAACUGUGAGUCAGUUAAACUUUCUUUAUAAAUUACCCAGUCUCAGAUAUGUCUUUACUGGCAAUGUGAGAACGGACUAAUACAGAUGGGCAGAGAAAGGUCUCCGUGCCAGCAUCUAACCUGGUGAUCAAGGAUGGAAAGAAGAGUGGGGCCACACCAUGUAGAGACUCCUCUGAGCCAAUUUCACUUGAGGGCCUUGGCCUACAAGCCAAACAAACAAACAAACACAUAAACAAACAGGGGGGCUAUGGCUGCCAAAAUACACAGAGGCACAGCCCCCAGGUGGCCCCCAGCUUCCUUGCCCCCACAUCCUGAACACCCCUCUGCACAGUAACAAGCUGGCAGAGAAAAACUACAAGCAAUUUAAAAUUUCUUCCCUUUCCUCUAUCUGACCUUCAGAGAACUAGUCUGAGAUCUACGACAACUUCAGAAUCCAUCUCUGCCCAACCCUGGACAGGCACAGACUUCCCUCUGCAAGAAUAUAAAAGCAAGCACAUAAACCACAACCAACUAGGCAUCUGAAUCUAUUAAUUAAUUCAACAUCCAUUGAAUAAGUCAAAAGAGGAAGAUAAUAUGAUCAAUUAAUAAAUGCCAAAGAGCUCCUUGGCUAAAAUCCAACCUAUCUUAAUUAAUUUCACCUACACAUGCACUAAACAAACAAUCCAUGUGAUAUGAGAUUCUGUUGCAGUUCUCUAAUGUGGUUCUUAAAAAAUCUCAAAACAAAAAUCAUUGUCAUGCUUCACUGUGACACAAUAAAGCCAUUCAAAUUAAAGUCAAGACAAUGAAAAGGAUGCCUAUGUUCACUGUUGUUAUUUAAUAUGGUUUUGGAAAUACCAGCCAAUGCAAUUAGAUAAGAGAUCAUUUGAAGAUGGCAUUAGUGUGUGUCUAGAAACACAAAGUAAAUCAAGCGAAAACAUUAUUAGAAUCAAUAGGAGAAUUCAGUUAGGUGGUCUUAAAAUUACUAUGCAAAAUCAAUAGCUUUCCUUUAUCUGAAAAAAUAAACAUUUAGAAAGUGUAACAGAAGGAGCAUACCCAUCUGAAUGGCAAUAACAUUUGAAUAGCCAGUAAUAAACUUUAUAAAACAACUGCAGGACCAAUGUGAGGGAAAUAUUGUAUUCUGCUGAGAGACAUAAACCCUAUGAGGAGUAUUUUCUUCUGAUGAGGUAAUUCUCAGGAUACAGAUGGACGUCUGUGCUCUGAAGUUUAAUCCUCUCACCCAAGAUCAAAGAGAAAGUAAGUGCACAGCCAGAACUGAGCCCUGGUUUAUCUGUUGUCAAACCCACAUUCUUCACUGUGAAGCUAAUAUUUGCACAAAGUAAAGAAAUAAAAAAAGAGAUAAAUGAAAUUAAAAAGAUGUGAGAAGAAGAACACAGGCCACCGAGAGCUAACAUGUAGACAGUGGGUGCCUGUAACGUCAGGAACAGAACAAGUGGAAGAGAAGGGCAAGCACGUUCAGAAGGACCAGAGAAGAAAUCAUGCUCAAGCAAAGAAUUCAAUCUGCUGCUUGAAAGGCCACAUCAUAUUCCUGGAAAAUUUUAAUAACAAAAAUAAAUCCUAAGGUAUGUCUUGCUAGAAAUAUUUAACUCUAAGGAUUAAGAAAGAAUACUACAAGCUUUCAGGCAGAAGAAAAGGCUCAUGGCCUAAAGGAGGAAAAAUGCAGAGCAACAUGGACCUUAGACUUGUCCUCGACACAGCUCUAUCGCAGAAGCAAAUUUCACGGUAGCUUUAGGAGAACAUGAGAGUCCUAAUGUUUGUACCCAGUGAAGUUUUUCUUCAUGUAUAAAUUCAACAAAAAAUCAUAAUAAA